ACUACGGGCGGCAGCAGUGGGGAAUAUUGCACAAUGGGGGAAACCCUGAUGCAGCGACGCCGCGUGAGUGAAGAAGUAUUUCGGUAUGUAAAGCUCUAUCAGCAGGGAAGAAGAAAGACGGUACCUGACUAAGAAGCCCCGGCUAACUACGUGCCAGCAGCCGCGGUAAUACGUAGGGGGCAAGCGUUAUCCGGAUUUACUGGGUGUAAAGGGAGCGUAGACGGCUGUGCAAGUCUGAAGUGAAAGCCCAGGGCUCAACCCUGGGACUGCUUUGGAAACUGUGGAGCUAGAGUGCUGGAGAGGUAAGUGGAAUUCCUGGUGUAGCGGUGAAAUGCGUAGAUAUUAGGAGGAACACCAGUGGCGAAGGCGGCUUACUGGACAGUAACUGACGUUGAGGCUCGAAAGCGUGGGGAGCAAACAGGAUUAGAUACCCUAGUAGUC
This 441-nucleotide ribosomal RNA is filed under the name uncultured bacterium. RNAcentral describes it as "partial 16S ribosomal RNA". It matches the Rfam family "Bacterial small subunit ribosomal RNA", at positions 338 to 795 of the family's 1533-position model. The record is from RNAcentral.